RNAcentral lists this ribosomal RNA (495 nucleotides) under uncultured bacterium. RNAcentral describes it as "partial 16S ribosomal RNA". It matches the Rfam family "Bacterial small subunit ribosomal RNA", at positions 30 to 507 of the family's 1533-position model. The record is from RNAcentral.
UGAACGCUGGCGGCGUGCCUAAUACAUGCAAGUCGAGCGAACAGACGAGGAGCUUGCUCCUCUGACGUUAGCGGCGGACGGGUGAGUAACACGUGGAUAACCUACCUAUAAGACUGGGAUAACUUCGGGAAACCGGAGCUAAUACCGGAUAAUAUAUUGAACCGCAUGGUUCAAUAGUGAAAGACGGUUUUGCUGUCACUUAUAGAUGAAUCCGCGCCGCAUUAGCUAGUUGGUAAGGUAACGGCUUACCAAGGCAACGAUGCGUAGCCGACCUGAGAGGGUGAUCGGCCACACUGGAACUGAGACACGGUCCAGACUCCUACGGGAGGCAGCAGUAGGGAAUCUUCCGCAAUGGGCGAAAGCCUGACGGAGCAACGCCGCGUGAGUGAUGAAGGUCUUCGGAUCGUAAAACUCUGUUAUUAGGGAAGAACAAAUGUGUAAGUAACUAUGCACGUCUUGACGGUACCUAAUCAGAAAGCCACGGCUAACUACGUG